Long non-coding RNA from Capsicum annuum, 617 nucleotides. RefSeq lists it as uncharacterized. Lineage: Eukaryota; Viridiplantae; Streptophyta; Magnoliopsida; Solanales; Solanaceae. The transcript has 3 exons. The record is from RefSeq and is a predicted model, not a curated record.
ACUGGAUUCAUUUAAAACAAAUAUAAUCAGUAGGGUUUCCAUAACAAACAAGUUUCCUAAUCUCUUUCUCAUUUGUGCCUCCUUUCAAGAUGGUGCUCCCCUUCUUCAACUGUAGCUUACUUCAACUGCUACUAUGGAUAAUCAACCUGGUGCCUCCUUCUUCGAGAAUCUCUUGGUCUUUCAGCUUAAAAAACUGAGUUCUCCAGUGUAUGAGACCUUGAAAAGAUUUUUGAUCAGCUCUGAGAGAUCUAGUCAACCGUGAUAAGCUGCUACCUCCAGAUAUGGAAGGAAUGAAGAUAAGGGAUGCUUGGACCUACGAAGAUUCUAGUAGCUGCUUCACACCCAGUUUUAAGAAUCUCAAAUUGACCAAUAGACCCUACCAUGAUGUUGGGAAUCCAUUUUGUUGGUUGUAGUAGACUAGGCUAGCUAUAACAUGCUCUUUUUUUGUUGUUUUUGUGUCUUGUACAUAUGUUGCAUGUAAACUAAACAGUCUAAGCCUCCCUUUGCCCUCUAUCCUCUUAAUGGUGUCCUCCCUUUGCCCUCUAUCCUCUUAAUGGUGUAAUUCUCAAGUAAGGGCACUGCCAUUUAUCACUGAACAGUAUGGCUUUUCCUAUGUG